CAGGCAUCGCAAAAUGGAUAGAAUGAGAGAGGGAAGAAAGGGAGUGUCUGGAAGGAGGGAGUAGGGAUGAUGAAAAAGAGGGAGUAGUUGGGAUGUGGAAUUGAGGGGAGGUAUAGGGAGUACGAUGGGAUGGCAGUGUGGGUGAAGGAAGGGGAUGUGUACUGUCACGCCCGGGUACCAGCAGAAGCAUACCCGAUACAUGCACAGACCCGCC
This 214-nucleotide long non-coding RNA is filed under the name Ananas comosus (pineapple). RNAcentral describes it as "long non-coding RNA (ACOM_LNC028106)". Lineage: Eukaryota; Viridiplantae; Streptophyta; Magnoliopsida; Poales; Bromeliaceae. The record is from RNAcentral.